GACGAACGCUGGCGGCGUGCUUAACACAUGCAAGUCGAACGGAAAGGCCCUGCGUUUGUGGGGUGCUCGAGUGGCGAACGGGUGAGUAACACGUGAGUAACCUGCCCUUGACUUUGGGAUAACUUCAGGAAACUGGGGCUAAUACCGGAUAGGAGCUCCUGCUGCAUGGUGGGGGUUGGAAAGUUUCGGCGGUUGGGGAUGGACUCGCGGCUUAUCAGCUUGUUGGUGGGGUAGUGGCUUACCAAGGCUUUGACGGGUAGCCGGCCUGAGAGGGUGACCGGCCACCUUGGGCCUGCGAUACGGCCCAGACUCCUACGGGCGGCAGCGGUGGGGAAUAUUGCACAGUGGGCGGGCGCCUGAUGCAGCAACGCCGCGUGCGGGAUGCCGGCCUUCGGGUUGUAAACCGCUUUCGCCUGUGACGAAGCGUGAGUGACGGUAAUGGGUAAAGAAGCACCGGCUAACUACGUG
RNAcentral lists this ribosomal RNA (468 nucleotides) under uncultured bacterium. RNAcentral describes it as "partial 16S ribosomal RNA". It matches the Rfam family "Bacterial small subunit ribosomal RNA", at positions 28 to 507 of the family's 1533-position model. The record is from RNAcentral.